Molecule: ribosomal RNA, 484 nt
Filed under: uncultured bacterium
Lineage: Bacteria
Description: partial 16S ribosomal RNA
Rfam family: Bacterial small subunit ribosomal RNA
Source: RNAcentral
GACGAACGCUGGCGGCGUGCUUAACACAUGCAAGUCGAACGGAAAGGCCCUGCUUGCAGGGUACUCGAGUGGCGAACGGGUGAGUAACACGUGGGUGAUCUGCCCUGCACUUCGGGAUAAGCCUGGGAAACUGGGUCUAAUACCGGAUAGGAGCCAUUUUUAGUGUGAUGGUUGGAAAGUUUUUUCGGUGUAGGAUGAGCUCGCGGCCUAUCAGCUUGUUGGUGGGGUAAUGGCCUACCAAGGCGGCGACGGGUAGCCGGCCUGAGAGGGUGGACGGCCACAUUGGGACUGAGAUACGGCCCAGACUCCUACGGGAGGCAGCAGUGGGGAAUAUUGCACAAUGGGCGCGAGCCUGAUGCAGCCAUGCCGCGUGUAUGAAGAAGGCCUUCGGGUUGUAAAGUACUUUCAGCGGGGAGGAAGGGAGUAAAGUUAAUACCUUGGCUCAUUGACGUUACCCGCAGAAGAAGCACCGGCUAACUCCGUG